GUUCAUUAUCUAGCCAUCCUUUUAAAUCAUUCCACGUUCAAUUCUCAACCCACUCAAGAUAUUGCCUAUACAACACAAGUAUUAUUCUUACUAGGGUAACUAACCUUACGCAAACCCUUCAAGUUGUUGAACUUUCUAAAUUUAACCACACAUCUUUUCCACAAGUAUAUUACUUCCUCUUAGUAAUAGGUUUAACAUUCAGCCAUACACGAUGCGCUAACUGCUCACAUGAAGAACUACGCACAGGUUAUCACUAUAAGUGAGAGUGAAUGGAGUGAAGCAAUAA
This 286-nucleotide long non-coding RNA is filed under the name Solanum tuberosum (potato). RNAcentral describes it as "long non-coding RNA (STUB_LNC001041)". Lineage: Eukaryota; Viridiplantae; Streptophyta; Magnoliopsida; Solanales; Solanaceae. The record is from RNAcentral.